This 497-nucleotide ribosomal RNA is filed under the name uncultured Chloroflexota bacterium. RNAcentral's name for it is "bacterial SSU rRNA". It matches the Rfam family "Bacterial small subunit ribosomal RNA", at positions 355 to 866 of the family's 1533-position model. The record is from RNAcentral. Lineage: Bacteria; Bacillati; Chloroflexota.
UAGGGAAUAUUGGGCAAUGGGCGAAAGCCUGACCCAGCAACGCCGCGUGCGUGAUGAAGGUCUUCGGAUCGUAAAGCGCUUUUCUGGGAGAUGAGAAAGGACAGUAUCCCAGGAAUAAGUCUCGGCUAACUACGUGCCAGCAGCCGCGGUAAAACGUAGGAGGCAAGCGUUAUCCGGAUUCACUGGGCGUAAAGCGCGUGCAGGUGGCGCGGUAAGUUGGGCGUGAAAUCUCCCGGCUCAACUGGGAGAGGUCGUCCAAUACUACCGUGCUUGAGAGCAGAAGAGGAAGAUGGAAUUCCCGGUGUAGUGGUGAAAUGCGUAGAUAUCGGGAGGAACACCAGUGGCGAAGGCGAUCUUCUGGUCUGUUUCUGACACUCAGACGCGACAGCUAGGGUAGUAAACGGGAUUAGAGACCCCGGUAAUCCUAGCCGUAAACGAUGUGAACUUGGCGUUGGUGGGUUAAACUCCGAUCAGUGCCGCAGCAAACGCGAUAAGUU